RNAcentral lists this unclassified non-coding RNA (165 nucleotides) under uncultured Hyaloscyphaceae. Its description in RNAcentral is "sequence contains ITS1". The record is from RNAcentral. Lineage: Eukaryota; Fungi; Ascomycota; Leotiomycetes; Helotiales.
CAGUGAUUACCGGCCCUCGUGGCUGGACUCACCACCCUUGUGUAUUAUUAUUUGUUGCUUUGGCAGGCCGCGAGGUUCUACCACGCACCGGCUUCGGCGGGAGAGUGCCUGCCAGAGGACCCCAACUCUGUUAUUAGUGAUGUCUGAGUACUAUAUUAACAGUUA